GUGGUCGCAGUGGGUGCGCAGAUCGCUGGAAGGUACUGAGUCACCGCCACAAAGAGCACAUGCAAUGAGACUAUGAAAGCAGAGAGCACAACAACGAUAUAAUAAUUUUAUAUUUGUCUUUAUCUUUCUGUCCGUAAAGACUAGAUUUGCAACCGGACAAGGAUUCAUCUUCAUUUUCAAGAUGUUCCUAAUGUCCGUCCUUUUAAUUUUGACUAAAUCUAUAUGUAAUUUGAUAUUGAAAUUUGAAUUUUAAAUAUGCACAACCUUAUCAAGCAUUCAAACCAUCUCUCAAAUAAUCAAAUUUCAAUUUUCUUCUUACCAUAACUCUCUUUCUUUCUCUAUCUUCUCUCAUGUCUUUCUUCUCCUAGAUCUAUAUAUCUCUCUGCAUCAUUUCUUUUCUUUUAUUUUUGUUAUCUCUGUGUUCUCUUUGUCAAACAGAGAUUUCUUGAUGGUGACAUGCAUUAUGGUAUUGUGUUUGUUGCGGGGAAGCAGAGGGAAGAAGUAGAGACACGACAGGGAGGAGCGAGAGAUGCAUACUGGCAUCGACAAUAAUGGGCAUGCAGUUUGGUGAGGCUGAGAUGAUUCGGAUGGCAAUAGACAGAACGGAAGAGAAGUCAUAGUUGCAGCACCAGAAGCGUCCAUCAACGGUCUUGGUGCGAUGAUGCUGUAUUCUCUGCUUAUAGGCGUCUUUGCCUGGUGUGGAGCUUUUGAUGCAGUAAAUCCAUAACCUCAUUGUUGUUGCCGGGAUUCUAUUUGCAAUUCGCCAAAAGAGUAUAUAUUCAUUUUCAUCAUCCUCAUAGAUCAUAUUUUUCAAUUUUUUUCUUUUCAUCACUCCAUUAAUGGAGCAGAGUACGUGAAGGCAAAAUCAAAUUGGCUACUGAAAAUUCGUGGGCAACCCCGGCAAGAAGGUUUAGCUUUCGGAGUCCAAGAUCCAACAGCUCUGCUUGAUUUCCAGAGACAUUUUCUUGCAACAGCCAGAUUUAUGGGAUCUCCAAUCUUUCAUUUAGAUUUGUGGUACUCUAACUUCUUGCAAUCCCUGACACUACAGCUUUCUUUCUUCAUAACAAGUGAAUAUGUACACUUUUGUGCACCCCUUACUCUACUGCUUUCUUUCUUGCAAUCCCUUUUGUUUCGGUCUUCUUCCUUUCUUUUUGAAGUCAGCAUUUGAUUGAUUUGUUAUUACGUUUAUUUUUUAUUUUAAUUUUUUUUAAUAGUGGUUUUAUAUUCUUUUAAUUUAAGAGUGACAUUACUAUUAUAUUUUUAAAUAUGUUUUUUAACCAUAUUUUAAAAUCUUGAUUUUCAUUUCAUAUCACCUCUCUAUAAUCUUAUUUUUCCAAUACAUUAUUGACUAAGAUUUGGUAACUUCUACUGUUUAUGAUACACGGUUCGGUAUCUCCUUUUUGAGUUUUGAUAAUGAAAUUUGGUAAAUAUUUUGAUUUUAACUGUUUAUGUGAUCUUUUCAUAUCUUUAUCAUUAUCAUAACCUCAGAAAAAAGAAAAUAAUAUCACCACAGAAGCAAGGAGGUGAAGAAACCAUGAUGGCAGUCCUGAAUGUAAUAAUUGAAAGAGAAGGGAGGAAUUGGAGAAAGAAAGUGGUGGUUCAGGUUCACAUUCUUCCUUGCAAAGCCUUCUCUGGCAUGGUGGUUCUGCUGAUGGUGCUUGGUUCAGUUGUGCCUCAAAUAAGGUAGGAUAGGUUCCAUUAACACUGCCAUACCCAUUCUCACAUUAGUUUAUUUUUUAUUUUGUAGUUAUUAG
Molecule: non-coding RNA, 1754 nt
Organism: Arachis ipaensis
Lineage: Eukaryota; Viridiplantae; Streptophyta; Magnoliopsida; Fabales; Fabaceae
Source: RefSeq, a predicted model, not a curated record